RNAcentral lists this ribosomal RNA (467 nucleotides) under uncultured bacterium. RNAcentral's name for it is "partial 16S ribosomal RNA". It matches the Rfam family "Bacterial small subunit ribosomal RNA", at positions 329 to 793 of the family's 1533-position model. The record is from RNAcentral.
GCCCAGACUCCUACGGGAGGCAGCAGUGAGGAAUAUUGGUCAAUGGGCGCGAGCCUGAACCAGCCAAGUAGCGUGAAGGAUGACUGCCCUACGGGUUGUAAACUUCUUUUAUAAAGGAAUAAAGUGAGGCACGUGUGCCUUUUUGUAUGUACUUUAUGAAUAAGGAUCGGCUAACUCCGUGCCAGCAGCCGCGGUAAUACGGAGGAUGCGAGCGUUAUCCGGAUUUAUUGGGUUUAAAGGGUGCGCAGGCGGCACGGCAAGCCGGCGGUCAAAUCGCGGGGCUCAACCCCGCCCAGCCGUCGGAACUGCCGGGCUAGAGUGGGCGAGAAGUGCGCGGAAUGCGUGGUGUAGCGGUGAAAUGCAUAGAUAUCACGCAGAACUCCGAUUGCGAAGGCAGCUUACUAAGCCAUAACUGACACUGAAGCACGAAAGCGUGGGGAUCAAACAGGAUUAGAUACCCCAGUACG